Long non-coding RNA from Bubalus bubalis (water buffalo), 900 nucleotides. RefSeq lists it as uncharacterized. NCBI's taxonomy places the organism in Eukaryota, Metazoa, Chordata, Mammalia, Artiodactyla, Bovidae. The transcript is spliced from 3 exons. The record is from RefSeq and is a predicted model, not a curated record.
UGUGUGUGGUAUUUAACGUUAAGUAGCAGAACAGGAAUGCAGCCCUUCAGGGAGCCAGUCCUCCUACCUGAAGUUGUGCUGGCUGCUUGCUCUACAGCUCUACUCAGUAGAAUUCAUUUGGGAAAUGGUGAUGAGCCUCUGGAUAUUAACAAGGGCGGGAAUGACUACUGAUGUCAUUAGCCAAGGAAAAGAUAUGCUGUGCUGAGAAAAAGCUACUAGGUGAUCAGAAUGAGGAGGCCAAAGGGUCCUCAACCCCCAUCUGUAUUCUGGCUUCUCGUUCAUCUUUGCAGCCUCUCUGGAAGUCCAACUUGUCCCAGGAAAAAAGAUACAUGCAUGACCCCAGAAUUUAGGAUACUAUCUCCAUACAGAAAAAGAGCAGAGAAGAGAAGAAUUUGAAACUGUCGAGAAACAUCUCUACAAAAAAGAUCGUGAUCCCUGUUUAAUGUCAUUGUCACUAACUCAAUUAUAUGUAGAAUCCCAGCAGGGAACAUAAACAGGUUAAGGCGACUGGAGGAGGUCAGCUGUGGACCAGAGAGUUCAUGACCCACUCAUAAGGAGCCCGUCAUGACUCAGCUCUAACACAUGCCUGUUGUGUGAAAACUCAUGAACAGGGAGCAAUCGAUGACUUUUAAAAUGGCUCAUGACAGGUUCAUUCCCUUGGGUAAUGAAUGCCUUCCCUUUGAACAUGGGCUGGACCUAGUGACUUGUGUCCAAUGAAAAAAACACAGCAAAAGUAUCUGGAUGGCAUUUCCAAGAUUAAGUUGCAAAAAAACUGUGACUUCCGUCCUGCUUUCAUUUUUGUUCUGAUGAAGCAAGCUGCCAUGUGAUGAGCUGCCGUGUGAAGAGGCCUACUUGAAAAGGAACCAAGGUGGUAUAUAUACACAAUGAAAUAUUACUCAG